This 423-nucleotide ribosomal RNA is filed under the name uncultured bacterium. Its description in RNAcentral is "bacterial SSU rRNA". It matches the Rfam family "Bacterial small subunit ribosomal RNA", at positions 355 to 774 of the family's 1533-position model. The record is from RNAcentral.
UCUAGAAGCUUCGGCAAUGGAGGCAACUCUGACCGAGCGACGCCGCGUGGAGGAUGACGGCCUUCGGGUUGUAAACUCCUUUCGGCGGGAAGGAAGGCCCGGGUGGCGAACCCGGGAUUGACCUACCCGCAGAAGAAGCCCCGGCUAACUCUGUGCCAGCAGCCGCGGUAAGACAGAGGGGGCAAGCGUUAUUCGGAUUUACUGGGCGUAAAGGGCGCGUAGGCGGCUCGGCAAGUCUGGUGUGAAAACGCUACCGCUCAACGGAGCGAUUGCGCUGGAAACUGCCGAACUUGAGUCCAUGAGAGGCCGGUGGAAUACCUGGUGUAGCGGUGGAAUGCUUAGAGAUCAGGUAGAACACCCGAGGCGAAGGCGACCGGCUGGCAUGGUACUGACGCUGAGGCGCGAAAGCGUGGGGAGCAAACA